CCAUCAGAGAACUUUUCUCGAGGGCGGGGGCACUUCCCCGAUUCUCAGCCCUCUGUGUGACUGCCACAGCGUGGGAUGGAGGCCACAGAAAAGAAAGAGUUAUGAGCAGCGUGGCCAGAACCUGAAGAAGGCAGAGUAAAUCCCAGAAUUCCUCUGAGCAUCUGGCUCCCCGUCCACAUCUUCUGAGAGCCCCAAGGAUAACCCUACUUUCCUUCUGCUUCUUGUCCAGGUUUCUUGGUCCUUUUGAGGUUUCCUAAGGUCUUUGUACCCCAGAAACAAUGUUAAUGACCCUCUCAGGAAAGACCAAAGUUGACACAGGAAAGAACGGUGGAUUUCCGGGUAUACAAGAGACUAAAGAAAUCCAGGACCCCAUUGCCCAACUGUUGAACUAAGGUGUGAGCCACGCAGACGUCUGGCUAGAACUGGUAAAACAGCGACCCCGUGUGGUCAGACAGAAGCACAGCCCAGCGCCCAGAGGGAGCCUCAUGAGCCCACAGUCUUGGCGCCAGCGGAUGAGCCGUUAGAUCUGUCAGUCAGAACGUCAAAUGAGGAAGGAAACAUAGCACCUUGCAAGUGUGAGAGGAAUUACUUUCUACCUUACAAAUGGGUCUUCCCUGUCCGCAGCUCAAGAUCUGAAGGCUGGAUGGCUUGUGCUCUCAAAGCAAAAAGGACAAAAGAAGGCUGGCCACAGGGCAUGGGUAAAGUUUGAGAUGUUUGCUGUGUCACUCCUUGGGAGGUAUGGAAGAUUUACAGAAAAAUCUUGUAAUCCUUAUCUCUCAUACGUAUUCUUUUUGUUUGUUUUUAUCUCUUACAUGUUCUUUUUGGCGUGUACUUAGACUUCGAAGAACUAGGGAAAGUAUGAAGGAAGCAUUUGACAUUGUAGUUACACCACCAAAAGGAAGAUAUCUUUAAAUCAUUAACAGGAAUGGCUGACUCUUCAAAUAGAGUUCAGUGUAAAAAAAAAUUGCUACGUCUGUGGGAUGGAAUGUCAGCCAGGCGUUGUCACUGAGUCUCAUCUAGUCAUCUGCUUCUUAGCAUCCUCAUCUCCUCUGUGUCUGUCAGACACAUCAAUGGGCAUCCAUCUCAUCCCUGCAGUGAUUUAGGGAACAGGAGCCUUCCUCUUCACACUGUUGGGCUCAGGUUUUUACCUCUUUAAGAAGAGUCUCAGGACUUGUCCCAUAAUUAUGCAUUUCCACAGAUAAAAGGGCGAAUUGCCUAGGUUAUUUCAGAAAAACAAACAAACACCUAGGUAUUUCCAUGCACAACAAGCUAGAUUAUACAUGCUGUCUGAUCUGUCAUCAGGGAAAUUGAUGGAGGAAG
Molecule: long non-coding RNA, 1320 nt
Organism: Lynx canadensis (Canada lynx)
Lineage: Eukaryota; Metazoa; Chordata; Mammalia; Carnivora; Felidae
Exons: 3
Source: RefSeq, a predicted model, not a curated record